GGGUGGCCAGAUGCAGCAGAGCAACGGGGCGGCUACUGCUCUGUAUGAUCAGCAGGGCAAUGCCAGCCCUGCUGGUGAUGCCGGAGACGCUGUCAUGGCGCGAUGGCUUCAGUCAGCCGGCUUGCAGCAUCUGGCCUCUCCAAUGGCUUCUACUGGUGUGGAUCACCGCCUCCUACUUAUGCAGGGAUAUGGGGCUCAGUCUAUGGAAGAGAAACAGAG
RNAcentral lists this unclassified non-coding RNA (219 nucleotides) under Hevea brasiliensis (rubber tree). The record is from RNAcentral. Lineage: Eukaryota; Viridiplantae; Streptophyta; Magnoliopsida; Malpighiales; Euphorbiaceae.